Long non-coding RNA from Mytilus californianus (California mussel), 430 nucleotides. RefSeq lists it as uncharacterized. The transcript has 5 exons. NCBI's taxonomy places the organism in Eukaryota, Metazoa, Mollusca, Bivalvia, Mytilida, Mytilidae. The record is from RefSeq and is a predicted model, not a curated record.
UUUAGCUCUAAGUGUAUUGAUUGUUAUUUUUCAGAAAUAUGUGUAACAGAAAAUUGUAAAAACUUUCCGAACGCCGUACCCAAAGCCCACGAUGUAGACGGAAAGUGCAAGUGCUAUUUUGAAGUAGACGGAAAGAAAAUAGAUAUGAUUUUAUGCGGGCUAAAACACGUGUGCACUGCUGACAAUCCAAUAUACCCAUGCGAGAGUCCUUUGCCCUGCCAAACAAAGAAGUGCGCAAAGUACCCCAGAGCAGAAUGCUAUAACUAUGUGUGUGGAACGUGUAGAGCUGAUUUCUUUGUCGGCAACGUGAAUAUGACUGAUGAAUGUAGGUGAUGACUGAUAACUCCAAAGAAAAGGCGAUGAUUAAGGCUAGGGAGACAGCAAAGAACAAUUAUCAUCAAGAAGUUUAAAAUUGGAAAUAAACUAAUUU